CUGGGAUUAUGGACCUGUACCACCAUGCCUGGCAAAAGUUGACAUGUGGAAUAGGGAGCUGGGAUGGCCAUCCUGGGCCAAUACAAACAAGACACACUGAAGAUGCCAGAGAAAGAAAUCUACAUUCUGUGAUGACACUUGACUUCUAACUUUGUUCACUUAAGAGGCUCCUCUACUGCCAGCUUCUUAUUUUUUGAUAAUAUAUCAUUUCUCCCAUUUUCUUGGCAGGGCUUCCUGCUGUCUCAGCCAUAACUGGCCUCCAUGAUGGGAUUGUCAUGGAGGUCAGGCUGUAUCAUGCCCAGGGAGUGCAAUCCAAAGGCCAGAAGCCUAUCCAUGACCACAGAGUAAAACGAUCUGACUUUGUGGGUCUCGUGAUCACUCUCACUUUACUCAACUCUGCUUUUGUGGCUGAUAAGUAACCUUAGUUCAUAUGGCAAUAGAGGGGUCAAGUGUGCUUAACAAAUGUAUGUACAAAGCAAGACCUAAGGCAGAUGUGCCCGCAGACAACAGGUUGACAGCUCCUGCCAUAGUGGAGAGCCCAUGGCUUCUUCUGGAAUUACACUAGAACUUCCUGAAGCACAUCUCAUUAUUCUGGUUGUGUCUUACAGUACAUACUUCAGCAUUUGGAUUGAGUAUAUUUAGUCAUUUAUACAACCCAGUUUUCUCAUUAGCACACUAUAUCCAUGAAAAGAAAGGUCUUGGUCUUAUAUAACCACCUAAAAUAGUGCUCAAAAACUUAAUAAAAGUAUGUGUCCUUAA
Molecule: long non-coding RNA, 759 nt
Organism: Ictidomys tridecemlineatus (thirteen-lined ground squirrel)
Lineage: Eukaryota; Metazoa; Chordata; Mammalia; Rodentia; Sciuridae
Source: RefSeq, a predicted model, not a curated record